This 1026-nucleotide long non-coding RNA is filed under the name Homo sapiens (human). RNAcentral's name for it is "non-protein coding lnc-GGPS1-15:2". The record is from RNAcentral. Lineage: Eukaryota; Metazoa; Chordata; Mammalia; Primates; Hominidae.
ACCCUGGCUGUUCGUCGUGGCAAGAGUCCACCACGGAGGCUGGCAGGGCAGAGUUGCCACCCCAUGUUCUCAGUUUCUCCACCAUCGUCCCUGGGGGCUUCCAGUUCCCCCUUGCACUAGGUCACAGGCAGCGUUAGCCAUCUUCUGACUUUCCCGAAGCCUCUCUUGGUUGCAUUGGCUGAAAUGAAGCUGUCACCUUCCAAUCUCGGAAGGGAGAGAAAUUCUUGGUGACAUUGGCUGAAGUGAAGCUGUCAUCUUCCUAUCCCAGAAAGGAAAGAAAUGGGGAGACCCAUUCGAGACCAAGGGAGGCCAGGCGCCAUGGCUCACGCCUGUAAUCCCAGCACUUACGGAGGCCGAGGCAGGCAGAUCGCUUGAGUCCAGGAGUUCGAGACCAGCCUGGGCAACAUGGUGAAACCCCGUCUCUACUAAAAAUACAAAAAUUACCCAGGCUUGGUGGUACAUGCCUUUAGUCCCAUUUACUUGUGGGGCCGAAGCAAGAAGAUCCCUUGAGCCAGGGAGGUCAGGUAGAUUAGAUCAGGUGGAUCUUGCACAGACAUCAACAAGACAUGGGACGUGCAUUCUGCCUGCAAGUGGCCUUGCAGUUAUAGGCAAAUGUCAUCCUGUCAUCCUUUAUGACCAGAGCCAUGCAGGCUUCUAGAUGCCAUUCAACCAGUUCCUGAAAGUAGUCACCGGUGAGUCCAUAAAUCAAUCAAUCAACAAAAUAUUAUUACCCUCAAAUGGUUAUCAAACUGUUCUGUGCUAGGCACCUGGCACCAUGGCUCUCUGAAUAACAUAUGUCUGCCUUCAUGCCAGCCUUAGUUCCUCAUGUAGUAAUGAUAUCCUCAUAUGAAGUCAUUAUUUUUGCCUCUAUUUAACCAUAAACAGUACCAUUCAAAAGUAAAAUGAUCUAGGAAAGGCAAAUCAAUACAACAAUAAAACAUCAGUUUUAACCUAUCAGAUUGGCCAAAACUUUAAAUAUUGUCAAUGGCUAGUGUUGGCCAGAGAGUGUGGAAAUGGGAACUCUCC